CUAAAACUUUAAUGUUAUUUGAAAACAUAAUUUGGCACCAAGUAUUCUUUAGGUUAUAAUCUAAGUUGCUCAUAAAAUGUAAUCUAGGCCUGGAUCAUUUUACUUUGAGGAGAAAACUUAUCACUAAAUAAUAAUGAUCUUAAGUCUGUUCUUUUGCCACUUCCCAGAGCUCUCUCCUAAGGCACUGUGGAAAAGUCAGGAGUAAAUUAGACUCCCACAUCUAGUAACCAAAACACCAUCAUCUCCAGCAUUACCACAGUCAAGUAUGCAGCUCGUCAUAAAUAUUUACACCUUGCAGGGUCCUUUGUGCACAACUCUGAGAGACAAAUGGCAUUUCCAGUAAUAGUUUAUUGAUUUCCAAAUGCACAGGGGCACCAAGUCCGAACAUCCUGGGAUAGCAGUAAAUCUCUCUUACAAAAUAAUUUACAGUAUGAAAAUGAUAUACUGAAACAUUAACCCAAACGUGUAAUUCCCUUGAAAGAUUCAGUGUUCCCUUGUUUAAUGUAAAGGGUGGAAGGGGAAGAUUCCUAAGGAGGGAAUGUGACUGUGCACAGGAAAAUAGGCAGAGGACAAUGGAUUCAUUGGUUCUCCCCAUUCAUGCAGUGUGGCCUGUCACUGUAGAAAGACUGGUCAGGUUUAACCCUCAUUAAGUAUUAAUCUGCUGUCCCCUCAAAGUCAUAUCAAGCCCAGUAUGGGCUCCGUGGCUUUUUUUGCACCAAUGUAUCCAUAAGUGUCUCCACUUAUUUUCAUUUUUCUGCUCUGGCCCUCGUUCUGCUGUUUCUGGUAUGUUCUCAGUUCCAAAUUAUACUAUCUUAUCUUACCAGGCAGGCCUCCAGAAUCAAGAACUGCCUGAGUCUUAUGGUUUCUGGAAUGGGACAGGGUAGGGGGCUUCAUAAGCACUGCUGGAUAAAGGCAAUAAUAAUGAGACUGAAGUCUCCCAUAUGGGCCUUCUUUUUCUCUUAGAGCUGGGCUGGACUCAAUCCAUAAUGAGAUUUUUUUAAACAUAAAAAUCUGAUGUGAUCAGCACACAGUAAACGUGCAGUUAAUUUUCUUAUUGAGAAGCAUGUAUUGCACAGCCAUUAUAUGAAUGUGGAAUUUCAGGAAUGGCAAGAGAAUAUUUUCUACUUGGGGAGAGAGGACUUCCUAGACCCUGCCACAACUACAAGGUCAUGAAUUCUGCAUUUGUGCCCUUAGGUCUAACUGGAGUAGUUAGACUCUCAGGUCACCAAAAUGGCUGGGCAUCCAAGUUUCCCAUCUUAUUAGACAUCCUGGAGGAGGGCUGGAGUGCAAUUUCCUUCAGGGCUGUCACUUUGACUCAGUGCCUUAGGAGCUAAUGACCUUUGCUAGGGAAUUGCUCUUCCUGUAAGCAAGUACCUAAGCCCCAACUAUAUGGUGACACUUGUAAUUAGGGCUGACAGAAAUCUUUGAAGUAGUACGCAAGAUAAUGAAGGGGCUGCUUUGAGUUUUCCUUAGCUCUCAAAUAUUGUGUGUGUGUGUGCGGACAUGUAUGUAUGUAUAUACAAGCUUCCAAAUCCUAAAAUCUUUUUAAUCUUCUGAUACUUAAAUUUUUUCGAGAGUGGCCACUGGUCCUUCUUUUAGGGUACUUUUGUUGGAUAUGAUUGGUGGUUGUAAUUAAUGGUAUGCCAAAUUCUCCAGUCUUUGCAGAGAUAGGUAAAGCACCAAAAUUGUCCUAGCCAUUUCUUGGCCAUCAGUUUGAGAGAAAAAUGCUUUUUUUUUUUUUUUUUUAACACCUCAAACUCCCCUCAGCCCCAAUAUCCUGGCAUCUUUAGUGAGUCAGGACAAU
This 1804-nucleotide long non-coding RNA is filed under the name Homo sapiens (human). RNAcentral describes it as "HSALNT0174108". The record is from RNAcentral. Lineage: Eukaryota; Metazoa; Chordata; Mammalia; Primates; Hominidae.